Molecule: long non-coding RNA, 3464 nt
Organism: Capsicum annuum
Lineage: Eukaryota; Viridiplantae; Streptophyta; Magnoliopsida; Solanales; Solanaceae
Exons: 2
Source: RefSeq, a predicted model, not a curated record
GACAAUGAAGACGGAAGUGUCUUCAAAGUGAAUAGGCAACGAUUGAAAUUGUAUAUCGGUACAAUGGAAUUGAUAAAGUGCAUAGCUACUAUAUAUCUCUAUGAAGUCUGAGUAAUUGAGAUGACUCAGUCAUGCCACGACAUUAAAUCAGGUGCUAGUGGGAGACAACCCACAAAGUGUUGUUGUAAUCAUAGUUAGAGUUCUUGUGUUAUUUUUAUGCAAUCUGAUGUGUUGUGAAGUGUGCAGGGAUGAAAACACUGAAAGAAAGAAGUUCACAGUUGAAAAGGAGGUUAACGGUGAGAUUGAUGGACCAUCACAGGAAUGGCGGACCGUCACAUCUACCGUCAUAUUGAAGCUGAAAUUCUGAAUCAAUGGAACAAACUGACCGAGAAAUUGGCAGAAUGUCAACAAAUUGGCAGACCAUCAAAUCAAUUGUUGCAAUGAAGCAGAGUUUCCCAGGUUCUGAUAAGCCGCGAAGGCCAACCUGGCGGACCAUCGUGCCAACCAUCAAACAAAACCCAAAGGAGAGAGGAGUGAAGUACUACACUUUCAAGGUAUGAUCAUAACCCUUUCUUUGCUCUUUGAAUGGCAAAAAACAUAAAGUAAAUAAGUUUUUGGUUGAUAAAUUUCGUCUUGCUUUCUUUGUUUGCUUUGAAUUAUUGAUUGUUCUGAGUUCUAAACUUUGGUAUACUCUUUUCGGGUGAAGUCCGAGUAACCCAUGUGUUUAGAGUUGAAAAAUUUAUGCCUAAAUGGGAAAUGGUUUUCAUUACUAUGUCCGAGUAACCCACGUAUGCUAGGUGUUUGUAAAAAUGCUAAUGUGAAGUUUUGAACUGAAAAGGGUUGUCGACGGUCACCUUAGCAGACCGUCAAACCUGUGACAGACCUCCAUGUGAACUAUCGCAAGAAACCCACAGAUGUCAUACACUGGAUAGUAGUGACAGAUAACUUGGCCGACCAUCAGCAACCUGAUAGCCCGUCAGUUCAACCAUCAUAAGGCACUGGAAAUUGGUACCUGCUGGAUAAGGCCCGGCGGCCAAUCCGACAGACUGUAGCAACAUCGAUGGACCGCUGCUGGAACUAUAAGCUAAAUUUUUUAGUGUUUUUCUGAUUCUGCACUGCACACUGAUUGUUCUUUCUUUUUCUAAGCAUUAUGGCACACAAACUUCUAAUAAUCAGUGGAAGUGGUAGAUCUCAAAGAGGUAUGAGAGAGUCAGCACUCGCCUACAACACUCGACAAAGAGAAAGAGAAACUCAUACUCUAUCCCAGUCUGAGGAGGAGAGUGAGAGUAGCACUAACAAUACCAGCUCAAGCCCUGAUGAGGCGAGGGUUGAUUUAUCUCAGCCCAAGCCAAUCGAUAUUGAAACUAAGGCUACCAAUGUGGAGGAGUAGACUGAAGCGAUUGAUGUAGAGACUGAGCCUGAGAAUGCCAAUGUGAUCAAAUGUAAGGAUCCUUAAAUCAGGAAGGCAAUUCGAUGGCAACUUAAGGGAUUAAGGGAAAAAUUCUAUGAUGGCCUGACACCGACAGUAAAUAGACCAAUCAAAAGGCCAUUUUCUCAGGAGUACCAGAUUGUGACAAUGGAGCUGCAUGAGUAUCCCAAACUAUAGAAACACUUCAAUGAAUAUAAGUUGGCUUGGAUGAGCAAACUGCCUGAAUCAUAUCAGCUUAACUAUGUAAAAAAGUUCUUUGCUAACUAUCUAGUGUUGGCAGAGAAGGAUUGUCCGAAGGGGUCAGUGGUUUUAGACUUGCACAACUGGGAGUCAGUCCCAGUCCGACGUGUGUAUAUUGAUAUUUCAGCCCGACCGAUCAAUAGGAUACUUUUUGGACCUGAUUAUGAAGCUCCCCCUGCUGUCACUGAUCUUGAGUACCGGCUAUCAUCUAUAUCUACUCAGAGGCCCUGGGUGGCCAAGUAAUUGACUGAUGAUGGUAAACCCUCUUGGGCAACCAACCUACGUGAGCAUAUUGCAAAGUCUUUCCUUAGCUUUAGAGCUAAGUUUUGGUGGGCUAUUCUUCGACUUAGGUUGAUGCCAAUAGAAGGAGACACACAUUUGGACAAACACAGAGCUAUCCUGGUGGCUAGUUUGAUUGUAGGGCUGAAGAUAGAUUUUGGCCAAAUCAUUGCGGAGCAAAUUUUUGUGAGGGCACAUAGGGUGUCGAGUGUACUACCAUUUUCAUAUUUGAUCAUGAAGUUAUGCAGGCAGGCAAAUAUGCCCUUGAUUUAGAGGUGUUGACAAUGUAUUCCAGGCAACACAUAGGACGGAUAUUGAGAAGUCUAAGGAUGACUCAAAAUUCGAAAUGCGGGUCAACAAACCUCCAAUCUAUUAGACUCAGUUCGCACUAACCCCGAAUACAUCAGAGAUUCCUUUAGGUAUGCCAUUGCCCAUCACCGCAUAUAUGCCACCUGAUUAUGUGCCACCAAGUAUAUCUGUAGGGUCAAUAUCUGCACCACUAAUGGGUGGAGAAAAUUAUGUAGAAUUUAGGUUGACGCCAAAAAAUUUUGCUAUUUCGGUAAGGCUGCAGAAAAAGUUUCAGAAACAGAUAGAUACUUAGGCUUCGCAAUUCAAUCCCUUUGUUGAUGAGAUUGUAGACGAGGCCAUCCGUCCUUUUCAAAGCAUUCAUACAAGAAUGGAUCACAUGGAAGAAAUCAUCAAUAAAAGGCUGGAUGCACUGUCUCUACCAUGUAUCGCUAAGCUCAUGGCUAAAUUUGAGCAAGCGAAGGCAGACAUAGCAGAGUAGAAGGGUAGGCAGUUCCAGUAGCCAAAUUUUAAUCCAUCCCUCGUGGUAAAUGAUGAAGACGAAGGUAUUGUUGAUCUGAUGGUAAUACCAGUGAAAGAAAAAGACAAGAAAUAAGUAAAUGAAUGUGAAUAAAAGAGAGAGGCAAGAAGAAGAAAGAGAGAAGCCAUGACACCGGAAUAAAAAGAUCAGUAUAAAUCGAGGAACGCCAUGAACAGAUCAAGGAGAGAUGAAGAAAAAAGAAAGAAGAAGGCGGCAGAUGAAGUUGUCGGAGUUUCUACUAGCUGCCCCAACAAGGGGGCAAAGUUCAGACCUAGUCGGAGAGAUGAUACCUCCGAUUUUAGAGGGUGAGAUUUUGAGUACCCCUACCACCAUAGGGGUCAACGUUGUAGUAGGUGAGGACACUGGUUCCUUACCACACCUCAUAGAUGCCUCAAUGAAUAAAAGGCAUUACAAGUAUACCCACUCCUUUUUACUUUUAUUUGAUGCUUUGAGGACAAUGCAUAUAUUUUUCUGUGGGGAGUCGUGUACUUGUACCAUGGGGGGUUGUGUUGCCAAAGCUCUUUUCCCUCCAUGUUCUAUCUAGUAGAAUCGACAUGUCUAGGGUUGUGUUUUUCUCUUGCAUUUUAAUUUCUUAAGAUUGUGAUGUAAAUAUCCGUGGUUAAUGCUUAUUUAUAAAAUGUCUUUUCUUUCAGUAUCCUUUUGUAUAUAUGAAUGAUGAAUGAUGUUGGC